This 253-nucleotide ribosomal RNA is filed under the name uncultured bacterium. RNAcentral describes it as "partial 16S ribosomal RNA". It matches the Rfam family "Archaeal small subunit ribosomal RNA", at positions 474 to 727 of the family's 1478-position model. RNAcentral also lists the same sequence under 3 other names. The record is from RNAcentral.
UACCAGCACCCCGAGUGGUCGGGACGAUUAUUGGGCCUAAAGCAUCCGUAGCCGGUUCUGCAAGUCCCCCGUUAAAUCCAGCUGCUCAACAGAUGGGCCGCGGAGGAUACUACAGAGCUAGGAGGCAGGAGAGGCAAGCGGUACUCAGUGGGUAGGGGUAAAAUCCGUUGAUCCAUUGAAGACCACCAGUGGCGAAGGCGGCUUGCCAGAAUGCGCUCGACGGUGAGGGAUGAAAGCUGGGGGAGCAAACCGG